GACGAACGCUGGCGGCGUGCCUAAUACAUGCAAGUAGAACGCUGAAGGAGAAGCUUGCUUCUCUGGAUGAGUUGCGAACGGGUGAGUAACGCGUAGGUAACCUGCCUGGUAGCGGGGGAUAACUAUUGGAAACGAUAGCUAAUACCGCAUAAUAUUGACUAUUGCAUGAUAGUCAGUUGAAAGGUGCAACUGCACCACUACCAGAUGGACCUGCGUUGUAUUAGCUAGUUGGUGGGGUAACGGCUCACCAAGGCGACGAUACAUAGCCGACCUGAGAGGGUGAUCGGCCACACUGGGACUGAGACACGGCCCAGACUCCUACGGGAGGCAGCAGUAGGGAAUCUUCGGCAAUGGACGGAAGUCUGACCGAGCAACGCCGCGUGAGUGAAGAAGGUUUUCGGAUCGUAAAGCUCUGUUGUAAGAGAAGAACGAGUGUGAGAGUGGAAAGCUCACACUGUGACGGUAUCUUACCAGAAAGGGACGGCUAACUACGUG
This 495-nucleotide ribosomal RNA is filed under the name uncultured bacterium. RNAcentral describes it as "partial 16S ribosomal RNA". It matches the Rfam family "Bacterial small subunit ribosomal RNA", at positions 28 to 507 of the family's 1533-position model. The record is from RNAcentral.